RNAcentral lists this ribosomal RNA (429 nucleotides) under uncultured bacterium. RNAcentral describes it as "bacterial SSU rRNA". It matches the Rfam family "Bacterial small subunit ribosomal RNA", at positions 355 to 776 of the family's 1533-position model. The record is from RNAcentral.
UAGGGAAUCUUCCACAAUGGGCGAAAGCCUGAUGGAGCAACGCCGCGUGAGUGAAGAAGGGUUUCGGCUCGUAAAACUCUGUUGUUAAAGAAGAACGUAUCUGAUAGUAACUGAUCAGGUAGUGACGGUAUUUAACCAGAAAGCCACGGCUAACUACGUGCCAGCAGCCGCGGUAAUACGUAGGUGGCAAGCGUUAUCCGGAUUUAUUGGGCGUAAAGGGAGUGCAGGCGGUUAUUUAAGUCUGAUGUGAAAGCCUUCGGCUUAACCGGAGAAGGGCAUCGGAAACUGGAUAACUUGAGUACAGAAGAGGGUAGUGGAACUCCAUGUGUAGCGGUGGAAUGCGUAGAUAUAUGGAAGAACACCAGUGGCGAAGGCGGCUACCUAGUCUGUAACUGACGCUGAGGCUCGAAAGCAUGGGUAGCAAACAGG